RNAcentral lists this ribosomal RNA (59 nucleotides) under Satsuma myomphala. RNAcentral describes it as "partial 28S rRNA". It matches the Rfam family "Eukaryotic large subunit ribosomal RNA", at positions 1 to 57 of the family's 3401-position model. Lineage: Eukaryota; Metazoa; Mollusca; Gastropoda; Stylommatophora; Camaenidae. The record is from RNAcentral. RNAcentral also lists the same sequence under 56 other names.
UCCGACCUCAGAUCGGACGAGAUUACCCGCUGAAUUUAAGCAUAUCAAUAAGCGGAGGA